AUAUAACUGUGAUAAGUGAACUGUUACUGCAAUAGCCGGUUAAGGCAGGCCCUGAAAUGCAUACAUAAAUUUGAAAUUGGUAAGAAUAAUUCUUCUUUAUGUAGUUUUCUAUCAUGCGAACUUGAGUCGCUGGUGUAAAGAUAAUCUCCACUUUAGCUAGUGCUUUUUUUUCUGUUCGCAGAGCAAAUGCGCUUCGCCCAAGCAUAACCCAAAUUGAUUAUAUACAGAAUUUGCGGUGCAUAUUUUUUUCGUGAAGCCGACAUUUUUUUAAUGAAAUACAGCACUUUAUGAAUACAUUUCAAAUUUGCUUACAUAUGUAUAUAUUUUUUCUAUUUGCAGAAAAAUGGGACAUUAUCAGUGUAUUCGUAGCUGAAAUGCCAUUGAAAGGACUAAGGUUAUAGAAUCAUGUAACGGUUCUUUGCAAACCUCUAGGCUGUCUGCCAUACAUCAACGUGGAGCAAAAUUCCUAAUUUAGGUGCUGGAAGUGUUGGAAAUGCUUAUCCAUGGCAAUAUGCUGUAAAUGUGAACACAUUCAAUAAAGAAACAGUUGAAA
This is a long non-coding RNA of Drosophila navojoa, 553 nucleotides long. Lineage: Eukaryota; Metazoa; Arthropoda; Insecta; Diptera; Drosophilidae. The record is from RefSeq and is a predicted model, not a curated record.